AAGGCUUAUUAAACAUGUUUAACACGGUGAUUUUCCCCCAGCAGGCACGAGGAGGAGAUGGGCGUUGAUGGAACAAACAGACGCGAAAGUCCACAUCCAAACGUCCCUCGUUCCAAAUCGCUGUUUUAUCCUUCCACAUACAAACUGAAUUUACAUUCCGCGAUUCCAGUCGGUGAUUUUUACACUUCUCAAGUUGCUUUCUCUUUUACAUGUGUAAAUAACAUGGUGGAAAGCAGAGAGUCCCGUGCGUAACCGAGUGUAACCGAAGAAGCGGCGCGCCGCGCGAAGACGCACAACACAGAUGCGAUCAAAUGAGUUCACGGAGUUCUCUCUUUGUCCCACAGCACAAUAAUCCUUCACCAGGACGUCCUGAAGUUGACUGGAACGCUGGAGGAACUGGUUCAAAGAUUGCAGGUCAAGUCUCAAACACUGAACAGAAGUACUGCAAGUCUCUGAAAUGACCUCCUGAUGGUUUUUAUAUUUAUAUAAGGUCACGUCCCGCGCCAGCUUCGGAUGAAGAGUGGCCCAAACAGAAGGACACAGCUUCAGUUAGGCUCACUUUACAAGGCUGUCAAAGACGCCAGCACCAGCUGCGAGAGAGAGAAGCCCUGAAACGAGCACGUGGAGCUGGCUGGAAUGCUCUAAAAGGCUUCAGAUAUAAGACAGUCAACAGCUACGAGAUGGUGGCAUCCGCCAUUUUGUGAUGUGCUUGGCCUCAGAGAGGUGAAGUAUAUUUGCUGAGCGUCUGAGUCCACCUUGACCCGCAGCCCACGCCAGCGCAACGCAAGGCCAAAAACCUUCUGGAUUUGCCAUUUGGAAGUAUUGACCUGCGACUUUCCCGUUCCCAAUGUAUUCGGACAGGGGAUUCCGGAGUGAAGCUGCUCCGCUCUGGGACAAGUGCCAAUUGCUCACAAAAGGCGAGUGAAAAUAUCACUGAUCUCAACAAGGAAACGUCGGGGGUGAGUGGAAAACACAAAUUUGCAUGCGUCCGUGCAACUAACACAGAAAAAAGUGAAGGAUGGUUGCAAGGGGAGGGGAAGACAGAGAAAAAGAGGAUUGUAAAAGAGGAGGUGGGGGCGUUUAUUCAAUCCUGCUUGAUGCUCCUCGGGCCUUCGAGAGCCGAUUGCAUGUGCUGUGGUAACUGCGGGACCAUUUGCAUGUGGCAGACACGCUAAUUGUGUGUUUGCUAACACGCACCAUUCAGUGAGACGCGCUCCGGUCCGCAGACGGGGUUCACACACGCCUCCCAGACGCCCUGGUGGCCUCCUAUUGUUCCAGAGGCCCAGCCGAGCAGCCGGAGAGCCUAACCAGAGCCCAGCGCUGUCCUGACGAGAGGGGAAACUGGAAUUGGAGACCAGACGGGAUAGCGAAACAGGACGGACUCUCUUUCUCCCCGCAGCGAGAAAAAAAGAGGCCUGUAGAAAGCAUUGCCUCCGGACGCUGACGUCCUCGCAGAUGUGUGUAAGUCACAGCGGCAUGUGCAAAUGUGUGUGUG
Molecule: long non-coding RNA, 1495 nt
Organism: Carassius auratus (goldfish)
Lineage: Eukaryota; Metazoa; Chordata; Actinopteri; Cypriniformes; Cyprinidae
Exons: 4
Source: RefSeq, a predicted model, not a curated record